Molecule: ribosomal RNA, 377 nt
Filed under: uncultured bacterium
Lineage: Bacteria
Description: bacterial SSU rRNA
Rfam family: Bacterial small subunit ribosomal RNA
Source: RNAcentral
UAAUACAGAGGUGGCAAGCGUUGUUCGGAAUCACUGGGCAUAAAGGGCGCGUAGGCGGCGACGCAAGUCAGGUGUGAAAGCCCUCAGCUUAACUGAGGAAUUGCGCCUGAAACUAUGUUGCUUGAGUGUAGGAGGGGAGAGUGGAACUCCUAGUGGAGCGGUGAAAUGCGUAGAGAUUAGGAGGAACGCCGGUGGCGAAAGCGACUCUCUGGCCUACUACUGACGCUGAGGCGCGAAAGCUAGGGGAGCAAACGGGAUUAGAUACCCCGGUAGUCCUAGCCGUAAACGAUGGGCACUAAGUAGGGGGGUCUCCGAAGAUCUCUCUGCCGGAGCUAAUGUAUUAAGUGCCCCGCCUGGGGAGUAUGGUCGCAAGGCUG